AGUGAACGCUGGCGGUAGGCCUAACACAUGCAAGUCGAACGGCAGCACAGUAAGAGCUUGCUCUUACGGGUGGCGAGUGGCGGACGGGUGAGGAAUACAUCGGAAUCUACUUUUUCGUGGGGGAUAACGUAGGGAAACUUACGCUAAUACCGCAUACGACCUACGGGUGAAAGCAGGGGAUCUUCGGACCUUGCGCGAGUGAAUGAGCCGAUGUCGGAUUAGCUAGUUGGCGGGGUAAAGGCCCACCAAGGCGACGAUGCGUAGCUGGUCUGAGAGGAUGGUCAGCCACACUGGAACUGAGACACGGUCCAGACUCCUACGGGAGGCAGCAGUGGGGAAGAUUGGACAAUGGGCGCAAGCCUGAUCCAGCCAUACCGCGUGGGUGAAGAAGGCCUUCGGGUUGUAAAGCCCUUUUGUUGGGAAAGAAAAGCAGCAGGUUAAUACCCCGCUGUUCUGACGGUACCCAAAUAAUAAGCACCGGCUAACUUCGUG
This 492-nucleotide ribosomal RNA is filed under the name uncultured bacterium. RNAcentral describes it as "partial 16S ribosomal RNA". It matches the Rfam family "Bacterial small subunit ribosomal RNA", at positions 29 to 507 of the family's 1533-position model. The record is from RNAcentral.